RNAcentral lists this small RNA (749 nucleotides) under Pan troglodytes (chimpanzee). RNAcentral's name for it is "processed transcript". The record is from RNAcentral. Lineage: Eukaryota; Metazoa; Chordata; Mammalia; Primates; Hominidae.
GGUGCUGAGAACCUGAGUUUCGGCAAGCAGCCAGAAUAUUUUAAAAAUGACUACACCAAACAAGACACCUCCUGGUGCUGACCCCAAGCAGUUGGAAAGGACUGGAACAGUACGGGAAAUUGGGUCACAAGCUGUUUGGUCACUCUCAUCUUGCAAACCAGGAUUUGGAGUGGAUCAGUUACGAGAUGACAAUCUAGAAACUUAUUGGCAAUCAGAUGGUUCCCAGCCUCAUUUAGUGAACAUCCAAUUCAGAAGAAAAACAACAGUGAAGACAUUAUGUAUUUAUGCAGACUACAAAUCUGAUGAAAGCUAUACUCCAAGCAAGAUCUCAGUCAGAGUAGGAAAUAAUUUUCACAACCUUCAAGAAAUUCGGACAUACAGAAAAACUCAAAGAAUUGUACAGUGAAUGCCAGUAUACUCACUUCCUAGAUUCUUCAGUUGUUAAUAUUUUGCUAUAUUUGCUUUAUUACAAUCUGUCCAUCUAAUUUUUUUGUGCACUUAAAAAUAACUUGUGCAUAUUUGUCCAUUUCACCCCAAAUACCAGUGUGAUAUAUUGGUAGAGUUAUCAACAUUUGCUUAAUUUUCAUUUUUUAAGAUAAAAUUUAUGCACAAUUUUGCAUAAUCUUAAGUAUAUUACUUGGUGAGUUUUGACAAACACAUACAUUUAUGUAAUCCCAACUCCUGUUAAAAUAUAGAACAUUUCCACCACUCCAGAGAAUUCCAUCAUAUCUGUUCCUAGUUCAGUCUUC